GAUGAACGCUGGCGGCGUGCCUAAUACAUGCAAGUCGAGCGAACAGACGAGGAGCUUGCUCCUCUGACGUUAGCGGCGGACGGGUGAGUAACACGUGGAUAACCUACCUAUCAGACUGGGAUAACUUCGGGAAACCGGAGCUAAUACCGGAGAAUAUAUUGAACCGCAUGGUUCAAUAGUGAAAGACGGUUUUGCUGUCCCUUAUAGAUGGAUCCGCGCCGCAUUAGUUAGUUGGUAAGGUAACGGCUUACCAAGGCAACGAUGCGUAGCCGAACUGAGAGGGUGAUCGGCCACACUAGAACUGAGACACGGUCCAGACUCCUACGGGAGGCAGCAGUAGGGAAUCGUCCGCAAUGGGCGAAAGCCUGACGGAGCAACGCCGCGUGAGUGAUGAAGGUCUUCGGAUCGUAAAACUCUGUUAUUAGGGAAGAACAAAUGUGUAAGUAACUAUGCACGUCUUGACGGUACCUAAUCAGAAAGCCACGGCUAACUACGUG
This 497-nucleotide ribosomal RNA is filed under the name uncultured bacterium. Its description in RNAcentral is "partial 16S ribosomal RNA". It matches the Rfam family "Bacterial small subunit ribosomal RNA", at positions 28 to 507 of the family's 1533-position model. The record is from RNAcentral.